GCUCAGAUGUACUUGGAGACUGUUUACAAGGAAUGUGUAGACUGCCAUUUUGUGAUGAAGAGCUUUAUUGAAAGCUGGUCUCUGCAAGCUGCAGCAGUGUCUUUUGAGGUUCAAUGUGCCAUAUAAAACCCUCUGCCAGGUUUUGAGAUUGUUGCAAGAUGUAUGCCCAUGUGAUUCCAUAGACCAGCUGACUUCUGAUUUUCAAUGCAGUUCAGUUUUUCAUUUCCUGUAGAGACCAGUCUCUUCAAAAAGAUGGAUUUCCUGACAAUAGACUGGGCAAGAUUACACUUCAUGUUUACUGUCACUGACAAAUUGAAGUCACCGUUGAACUAACAGUAACUGAUACAACAGACUAAAUGGCACUCCAUCAGCAGAAUAGUUAUCUUUGGACUGAAUCUGACCAUGGAAUCCUCCCCAGCUCGCUCUGGCUAAAUGAAUGUCAUAAUCAAGAAUAAUGGUUUGUCUUGUGUGCCUACCAAAUGCAGGUACAUAAGAAAUUACUUGGACCACUGGAGACAGCUGCAAGAGAUGUGUUGUGGCAAGAUCAAUAAUGCUGACUUAACUCUCAUCUAGUUCACAAGUUUCCUUUGGGAAGGAAAUCUGUCAUCCAUGCCUGUCCUACGUGUAACUCCAGAGCCAUGGCAAUGCAGUUGACUCUUGAAUGCCCUCUGAAAUGGAUCAAGCCACUCAGUUCAAGCACAAUUAGAGAUGGGCAACAAAUGCUGGUCUUGGUAACAUCCACAUUCCAUGAAAGAAAAGUCAUCCUUAUUCAGCUGCCUUGCCCCUACAGUACAGGUCACCAACAUGGAGAUAAGGGAGCUCUGACAUCCAAGCCCUUAGCUAAGAUGUGAACCCAACAGGCACUGCAGUUGUGGUCAAGAUAUAAACACCUAUCUUUUUUUCCUGUUUUAAUAUCAAGAUUCUGGGAGAGGUUGCUACUCUUGUUAAAAGUAAGCAACCAGCACACUGCUAAACUUGUUUUUCACUAGUAAGACUUUAAGUUCUAUACAAAACAUUGCCUUUCGCUGGCAAGUGAAAGUACCUGGAGAAGAGUUUCUUGAACAAGUCCUGACAAGCCAAUAAGAUGGCAGCAGACUCUGGACAAGAGGCUCUUGAAUUAACUUCCUAGAUUUUCCUUCCACCCAUAACACCAAUGUUCUUGUCUGUGUGCAAGGGUGGAGUUUUCUAAGGGGAUUUACAGAUUUGGGCUCUUCUUAAUUUGAAGCUAGAAUCUAUUUUUCUAAUCUGAUAAUUCUUGAGUAUAAAAACCCAGUAUGUUUAAUUGAUCUGGGUCUGAAAAGACUGCAUUGGGAAUUUUGUGCUUUUGUAUAAAAUCUCAAUUUGAGGGGAAUAGUGGGGCUUGAUUUCCAGUGUAAUACCCAAUGAAGCAUAAAAAUAAAAUGGACAUGGCCAAAUGUUA
Molecule: long non-coding RNA, 1420 nt
Organism: Rhincodon typus (whale shark)
Lineage: Eukaryota; Metazoa; Chordata; Chondrichthyes; Orectolobiformes; Rhincodontidae
Exons: 4
Source: RefSeq, a predicted model, not a curated record